RNAcentral lists this ribosomal RNA (253 nucleotides) under uncultured bacterium. Its description in RNAcentral is "partial 16S ribosomal RNA". It matches the Rfam family "Bacterial small subunit ribosomal RNA", at positions 524 to 776 of the family's 1533-position model. The record is from RNAcentral.
UACGGGGGGGGCAAGCGUUGUUCGGAAUUACUGGGCGUAAAGGGCGCGUAGGCGGCCUUCUAAGUCGAACGUGAAAUCCCCGGGCUCAACCCGGGAACUGCGUCCGAUACUGGAAGGCUUGAAUCCGGGAGAGGGAUGUGGAAUUCCAGGUGUAGCGGUGAAAUGCGUAGAUAUCUGGAGGAACACCGGUGGCGAAGGCGACAUCCUGGACCGGUAUUGACGCUGAGGCGCGAAAGCGUGGGGAGCGAACAGG